This 1696-nucleotide ribosomal RNA is filed under the name metagenome. RNAcentral describes it as "bacterial LSU rRNA". It matches the Rfam family "Bacterial large subunit ribosomal RNA", at positions 1218 to 2925 of the family's 2925-position model. The record is from RNAcentral.
UUAGGGGAUGGUAGGGGAGCGUUCCAUGAACGGAGAAGUACGACCGAAAGGACGUGUGGAGAUCAUGGAAGAGAGAAUGCCGGUGUGAGUAGCGGAACGUGGGUGAGAAUCCCACGCACCGAAAACCCAAGGUUUCCAGAGGAAGGUUCGUCCGCUCUGGGUAAGUCGGGACCUAAGGCGAGGCCGAAAGGCGUAGUCGAUGGACAACAGGUAGAGAUUCCUGUACCCGUAUAUAUGUGAAGGAAUGACGGAGAGAGGAAGCUGCAGCCAGCGGCUGGAAGAGCUGGUGCAAGCGAGAUAUCGGGAUGGCAGGCAAAUCCACCAUCCGAAACGAGAAGGCGUGAAGCGUACGGAAAGCUACGGCGAGUACGGAAGGCAGUGGAGGAACUUCCAAGAAAAGUUUCUAACGUUAAGUAUAUAUGGCCCGUACCGAAAAUGGACACACAUGGGUGAGGAGAGAAUCCUAAGGUGAGCGAGAGAACUAUAGCUAAGGAACUCUGCAAAAUGACUCCGUAACUUAGGGAGAAGGAGUGCUCAUAGAGAUAUGAGCCGCAGUGAAACGGCCCAAGCGACUGUUUACCAAAAACACAGCUCUCUGCUAAGCCGCAAGGCGAAGUAUAGGGGGUGACGCCUGCCCGGUGCUGGAAGGUUAAGGGGAGGGGUUAACGCAAGUGAAGCCCUGAACUGAAGCCCCAGUAAACGGCGGCCGUAACCAUAACGGUCCUAAGGUAGCGAAAUUCCUUGUCAGGUAAGUUCUGACCCGCACGAAAGGCGUAACGAUUUGGGCGCUGUCUCAGCUGUAGACUCGGUGAAGUCUUAGUACCUGUGAAGAUGCAGGUUACCCGCGACUAGACGGAAAGACCCCAUGGAGCUUCACUGCAGGUUGAUAUUGGGAUUUGAUGCAGCAUGUACAGGAUAGGUAGGAGGCAAAGAGAUGGAUACGCCAGUAUUCAAGGAGCCGCUGUCGGGAUACUACCCCUGUUGUAUUGGAUUUCUAGCCGGACGACGUAGUGCCGUUGACGGGACAGUGUCAGUCGGGCAGUUUGACUGGGGCGGUCGCCUCCCAAAGAGUAACGGAGGCGCCCAAAGAUACCCUCAGCUUGGAUGGAAACCAAGCGCAGAGUGCAAAGGCAAAAGGAUGUUUGACUGCGAGACCCACAAGUCGAGCAGGGACGAAAGUCGGGCUAGUGAUCCGGCGGUGCUGAAUGGAAAGGCCGUCGCUCAACGGAUAAAAGCUACCCUGGGGAUAACAGGCUGAUCUCCCCCAAGAGUUCACAUCGACGGGGAGGUUUGGCACCUCGAUGUCGGCUCAUCGCAUCCUGGAGCUGAAGUCGGUUCCAAGGGUUGGGCUGUUCGCCCAUUAAAGCGGUACGCGAGCUGGGUUCAGAACGUCGUGAGACAGUUCGGUCCCUAUCUGUCGUGGGCGCAGGAAAUUUGAGAAGAGCUGUCCUCAGUACGAGAGGACCGGGAUGGACGCAUCAAUGGUGGACCAGUUGUCACGCCAGUGGCAUAGCUGGGUAGCUAAAUGCGGAAGGGAUAAACGCUGAAGGCAUCUAAGUGUGAAACCCACUUCAAGAUGAGAUUACCCAUUGCGCAAGCAAGUAAGACCCCUUAAAGACGAUAAGGUAGAUAGGUCAGGAGUGUAAGCAUGGUGACAUGUUAAGCGGACUGAUACUAAUAGGUCGAGGGCUUGACC